CCUCAGGCGGGGGAUAACCUUCCCCUUCUAGAAGGCUAAUACCGCAUAUGACCACGGCCUCCAAAGAGGCUGAGGCAAAAGCAGGCCUCUGCACGCAAGCUUGCACCUGAGGAUCGGCCCGCGCCCCAUCACCUAGUUGGUAGGGUAACGGCCUACCAAGGCAAAGACGGGUAGCUGGUCUGAGAGGAUGAUCAGCCACACUGGAACUGAGACACGGUCCAGACUCCUACGGGAGGCAGCAGUGGGGAAUCUUGCGCAAUGGGCGAAAGCCUGACGCAGCGACGCCGCGUGGGUGAUGAAGGCCUUCGGGUUGUAAAGCCCUGUGGGGAGAGACGAAUAAGUCGGAGCUAAUACCUCCGGCGAUGACGGUAUCUCCUUAGCAAGCACCGGCUAACUCUGUGCCAGCAGCCGCGGUAAGACAGAGGGUGCAAACGUUUGUUCGGAAUUACUGGGCGUAAAGCGUGUGUAGGCGGGCCUUGCAAGUCGGAUGUGAAAGCCCCCGGGCUCAACCCGGGAAGUGCACCCGAUACUGCUGGGCUCGAGUACCCGGAGAGGGUUGGUGGAAUUUCUCGGUGUAGAGGUGAAAUUC
This 589-nucleotide ribosomal RNA is filed under the name uncultured bacterium. RNAcentral's name for it is "bacterial SSU rRNA". It matches the Rfam family "Bacterial small subunit ribosomal RNA", at positions 130 to 689 of the family's 1533-position model. The record is from RNAcentral.